This 566-nucleotide long non-coding RNA is filed under the name Homo sapiens (human). Its description in RNAcentral is "apolipoprotein B mRNA editing enzyme catalytic subunit 3A (ENSG00000262156.6)". The record is from RNAcentral. Lineage: Eukaryota; Metazoa; Chordata; Mammalia; Primates; Hominidae.
AUGGCCUUCAGGCCUCCCUGCCACGGGGAUGCUGCCUUUUCUGCUCCGGGUGUUUCCACGAGGCAGGCAUGGAAUCUUCCCUGGACAAGCGACAUACCGUGGAGAGACAGCGGAAGACACCAUACAGUAAACACAGGAGCCUGCGAGAGAACCUCUGCCGAGCACCAGUGAACGGCCAAGUGACACGAGUGACACCAUGAGCUUGGUGCCCUCUCCAUCCCAAGCCAGAGGCGGAAGCCAGGCCCUUCCUCCCAGCCCAGACUCCUACAUCCCAAACUUGAGCCAUGGCACACAUGCUGGGCACUUACUCUGUGCAUAGCAGAGGGAGCUGAGCUGCAUCCAGAAACAGACCUAGGAGCUCACAGACCCAAGGCCUGGGUCUCCACCCCUGGAAGAGGGUGGUGCCGAGAGCAGGGCCCCCGGCUGUCACUGGCCCGGAGCUCACCGUGCAGGGGCAGCCCAGGCCCUCCGGGGAUGGCACUGGGGUGUCGGAGGCCAAGGAGCAGAAACAGCUGUGGAUGCUUCCCUCGGAGGACUGGGUGGGGCCGGGACCACCAGGACCUGCC